GCGGGGAGGUCUGGAGGGAGAGGCGCGGGCGGGAACCGAGGCUGCUCGCGGUGCCUGCGGGCCAGCGCGAGUUCCGGGUGGGCGUGGCCUCGGCGGACCCAGCACUCGGAGCGGCCGACCGGCCCUACUGGCGCCGGGCAGUGAGGGGCUUAGCACCUGGGCCAGCAGCUGCUGUGCUCAAUUUCUCGCCGGGCCUUAGCUGCCUUCCCACGGGGCAGGGCUCGGGACCUGCAGCCCGCCAUGCCUGAGCCUCCCCCCCGACCCGCCUUGGGCUCCUGUGCGGCCGGAGCCCAUGUGAAGAGCACUCAGUAUGAUGACCGGAGACACAGCUGUUGGAGGAAAAAAGUUUAUGUCAAUUAAAAUCCUGAAUUUCUCUGAUCUGGAAAGAAAAACUGCUAUGAACUCUUUAGCUCAACUUCUUGAUGAAAACAACAAACCCAGUGAAAAUAACUGAAAGACUGGAAUUCAGAUGGCCAGAGUGGAGCAACCAUUUCAACACCCAAGAUAUUUGCUAAAGACUACAAAAGAUGCCAACACAAGUGCUGAAGAGGAUGCUACAUGAGAGAAAGAUGGAUUCGUAUGUGGAAAAGCCUUCUAAGGAUAAAGUCUACCAUAUACUGACUUACUUUCGGAGGUAACAAGGGUUGGUGAGAUCUCAGUAGCGUCCUUCUCAUGAGGAGGUCAGUCUCUUAAACUUCAAGUGGAAAACAGAUGAGAUGAGGUGACUGUGCUGAAUUUGAAAUAUGUGCCCUAAUCCCAAUGUUAUUUUGUUGUUGCUGUUAUGUUUGUUUCAAAAAUAAUUACAAGGUAAUUGCCCUCUGAUUUCUGUUACCCACAGAACCUCAUCUCUCACCUUACCCCCAGCUUUAAUGAGGCUUCUUGUUGGUCAAUUCCAAUAAGAACUCUCUAAGUCACCUGGGCUGCUCUGAGAUCCACCUUACAGUGACUCAGGAAUACAGUCAAUACAAUGGUAGAAAGUGGCCCUGGCAAGGAAAGACUUUAAAACACAUAGAACAAAUCAGCCCAGAGGCUCUGCCGGCACUGCUACCCUCAACAAGUGGCAAUGUGGUGACCUUUAGUAAUCCCAUGCUUGGUUCCAACUUCUUUCCCUUUAUAAGGGAUUAAUCAAGACAUGGCUUCCAGCACUUUCAUUGGUAUUAAUAUGUGAAGUUGGGAAGUCAGGUUGGGGGACCUUACUGCCAUUAGAAAUGGGCUCCAGCCUUCUAGGAAUGCCUCUGUCUUUCGCCUACCUAAAGGAUCAGCAUUGGAGGAAACUUUCUUAAUUUGUAAUCACUCCCAGUGUAUUUGAACUCCCUGGGUGUAAACCCUAGCUUUACCAUUUGCUUGACUGUGGCAAAGUUAAUUAACCUCUUUGAACUUCAUUUUCUUAAACAUGAGCUAUAUGGAGUCAUUAGAGUUCACUGAGUUUACCCAUGUAAGAUUCUGAACAUUAGUGCCUGGUACAUAAAUGCUCAGUUAAGUUGGCUAUCAAUAUUGAUAUCAUGGCUACUAAAAUCUUAUAAAGCCCUUUAAGCUUUUCUAAUCCAUGUGUUCACUGCUAAUAACCUCAUCCUGAACAAGUGCAAAUCUAAAUUGAUGGUGAUACUCUUUCCACCCAUUCCCAAUUCUAACUUCUGACUUCUGCUACCCUGACUACUCUUCCCACAACAUUUUCACCUCUCUCCUUAUAUCUGUUACAUAACACUCAGCUCCAACUUCACAAUCUGAACGUAAGUUGGUCUUGUGGGUCAGCUCAUCCUCAGCCACCUUGGAUAAUAUCUCUCCUUUAUGCUACCCAGGGUUUCUUAGCUUUUCCAUUCCAGGAGCUCCUUUGACACUGUGGCAAAGCCUAUGAAGCCAUUCUGAGAAUAUUUUAAAUGUGUAAAACAAAACCAGGAAUUUUAAAGGAAAAAAUUCUAUUGGAUUACUCUUAUGUAUAUUAAAAUAAAGGUAUGACAUAGU
This is a long non-coding RNA of Pan troglodytes (chimpanzee), 1962 nucleotides long. RefSeq lists it as uncharacterized. NCBI's taxonomy places the organism in Eukaryota, Metazoa, Chordata, Mammalia, Primates, Hominidae. The record is from RefSeq and is a predicted model, not a curated record. The transcript is spliced from 4 exons.